This 779-nucleotide ribosomal RNA is filed under the name uncultured Neocallimastigales. RNAcentral's name for it is "partial large subunit ribosomal RNA". It matches the Rfam family "Eukaryotic large subunit ribosomal RNA", at positions 23 to 638 of the family's 3401-position model. The record is from RNAcentral. Lineage: Eukaryota; Fungi; Neocallimastigomycota; Neocallimastigomycetes; Neocallimastigales.
AGAGAGAGACAUGCGCGCAUAUCAAUAAGCGGAGGAAAAGAAACUAACUAGGAUUCCCUCAGUAACGGCGAGUGAAGCGGGAAGAGCUCAAAUUUGAAAUCUUCAAGGUUUUACCUUGACGAAUUGUAGUUUAAAGAAGUGUUUUCUGUUGGAAUUUUAGUAAAAGUUCUUUGGAAAUAGGACAUCAAUAGAGGGUGAGAAUCCCGUAUUUGACUAUUCUUUCUAGCUUUGUGAUACACUUUCAAAGAGUCGGAUUGUUUGGGAAUGCAGUCCAAAAUGGGUGGUAAAUUUCAUCUAAAGCUAAAUAUUGGCGAGAGACCGAUAGCGAACAAGUACCGUGAGGGAAGGAUGAAAAGAACUUUGAAAAGAGAGUUAAACAGUACGUGAAAUUGUCAAAAGGGAAGCGUUUGACACCAGUGUUGUUUUUCUCGAAAAUCAAUUAAAAAUGGGAUUCAUGCUAGGUAGUAUUGACUUCAUCAGCUUUCUGCACUUAUUUUUGGUUCUUUUUUAAUGCACUUUUCGUUUAACAAGUCAACAUCAAUUUCUUUUGCUGUAAAAGAGUAAUAGGAAGGUGGCUUUCACUUCGGUGAAAGUGUUUAUAGCCUUUGAUCUCUGCAAUCGGAGAGAUUGAGGUCUGCAGCGUAGAUCCUUCGGGGCUAGAUACAUUUGUGCUAAGUUAUAGCUUUUUAUAGACAACUUGUUGACUAUGUUUAGUCUUGUAGCUUACUCGCUUACGCUAUUUUACCUACGCUUAGGAUGUUGACAGCAGUAUAGACUGU